UUCGUUGUUCUUCUUCCUUGGGGUCCUCACAUUUUCAUCAGGCUUGAUUUUUUAUGAUUUUACUGCCUCUUUUGUUCUUCUUCUCUGUUGUUCUUCGUCCUCCCUCUUGCAUGCAAGGUGUUUGAGACCCUUUCUCUUCUUCUGCCUCUCCCUCUUCCUCUCUAAGCAGCCAUCCAACUACUUGAUCUAAUCAUCCUCCAAGCACUCUACCUUGACUCUUCUCUGGAGUUUUGAUCUGAUGCAGGUCUCCACUAAAUCAAGGGUCUAGCAUUCCUGGAGUUUCAAUUUGUUGGAGGUUUCCACUAAUCAAGAGGCUAUGGAGCAACUGAAAUUAGUAGCAAGUUUUGAAAAUAGUCUUAACGAACCUGAUGCCCUUUUCGACAAGCGAGAUCCAGAGCACAAUAUGUUAGGAAGACUGAGAGCAUGUAGAAGACUGUUAGGCAUGAUAAAGAAGAUAAUGUGCUGUUAUGGUUGAGCCAUUAAUAGGAGCAGAUGGUAUCUUCAAGUACAACACUUAUCUAUGGAAAAAUAUGGCUCUCUUAGAAGGAUAUGCUUUCUAUUUGGUCAUCAGUAUACCUUUAAUUGAAAUUCUUAUGUUUGUUUUUA
Molecule: long non-coding RNA, 606 nt
Organism: Lotus japonicus
Lineage: Eukaryota; Viridiplantae; Streptophyta; Magnoliopsida; Fabales; Fabaceae
Exons: 6
Source: RefSeq, a predicted model, not a curated record